Small nucleolar RNA from Heterocephalus glaber (naked mole-rat), 122 nucleotides. The record is from Ensembl. NCBI's taxonomy places the organism in Eukaryota, Metazoa, Chordata, Mammalia, Rodentia, Bathyergidae.
GCAGCAAAUUCUGGCUGUGUUCCUACAGGGACUAUAGAGAAAGAGAAGGUGAGCAAAUCUGUUCCAUGUACACCUUAGCCAAAGCCCUGUGCCUAUUCUGUACUGUGAAUGAAGAGACAUGA